UUCCUACAUAAGAAAACUUAUUAUAAUUUGAAAUUUAAUUUGCAGGAAGUGUCCGUCACGAUAUACCGGGAUUGUAAAUUAAACCCAUAACCUACAAUACUUUGUAAACUUUGAGGAUUUAUCAAUUUCGGAAUUUGGAAAUAUAGAACUAAAUUUUCAAAUUCGUACGUUAGUGAAUCCGCUGGCGGGAGUAGUUCGUGAUAGAAGCGGCACGAUAGUACUCGUAUCUGCUCCACCGACUACUGGAACCGAUAAAAAAGCAGGAUUCAAAUCUAACAGAUCUCCGAGACCAUCGGAAGUGUUGCUGUAACUGGUCGAGCAAAAACGGCUACCAAAGAAUUCGAACAGAACUGUACCAUUUUCUCA
Megachile rotundata (alfalfa leafcutting bee) is the source of this 366-nucleotide long non-coding RNA. NCBI's taxonomy places the organism in Eukaryota, Metazoa, Arthropoda, Insecta, Hymenoptera, Megachilidae. The record is from RefSeq and is a predicted model, not a curated record.